Molecule: ribosomal RNA, 738 nt
Filed under: uncultured eukaryote
Lineage: Eukaryota
Description: SSU rRNA
Rfam family: Eukaryotic small subunit ribosomal RNA
Source: RNAcentral
CGUUCAAGUUUCUGCCCUAUCAGCUUUCGAUGGUAGUGUAUUGGACUACCAUGGCGAUCACGGGUAACGGGGAAUUAGGGUUCGAUUCCGGAGAGGGAGCCUGAGAAAUGGCUACCACAUCUAAGGAAGGCAGCAGGCGCGUAAAUUACCCAAUCCUAAUUCAGGGAGGUAGUGACAAGAAAUAACAACUCGGACCUCACACGAGGUUACGAGAUUGCAAUGAGAACAAUUUAAACCUCUUAUCGAGUAACAAUUGGAGGGCAAGUCUGGUGCCAGCAGCCGCGGUAAUUCCAGCUCCAAUAGCGUAUAUUAAAGUUGUUGCAGUUAAAAAGCUCGUAGUUGAAAAUCUGGCCGGUGCUGUUCUCGGCUCCCUGAGUCGGCUCAGCGCCUGGUCAUCCGUACGGGAAACUAGCUCGACCUUCACUGGUCGGCUAGUGGAUCGUACACUUUACUUUGAAAAAAUUAGAGUGUUUCAGGCAGGCAAUUGCUUGGAUAUUGUAGCAUGGAAUAAUGGAAUAGGACUUUGACCUAUUUGUUGGUUUCUCGAGGUCAAAGUAAUGAUUAAUAGGGACAGUUGGGGGCAUUCGUAUUUAAUUGUCAGAGGUGAAAUUCUUGGAUUUUUUAAAGACGAACUUAUGCGAAAGCAUUUGCCAAGGAUGUUUUCAUUAAUCAAGAACGGAAGUUAGGGGAUCAAAGACGAUCAGAUACCGUCCUAGUCUUAACCAUAAACUAUACCGA